This 253-nucleotide ribosomal RNA is filed under the name uncultured bacterium. RNAcentral's name for it is "partial 16S ribosomal RNA". It matches the Rfam family "Bacterial small subunit ribosomal RNA", at positions 524 to 776 of the family's 1533-position model. The record is from RNAcentral.
UACGAACUGUGCGAACGUUAUUCGGAAUCACUGGGCUUAAAGGGUGCGUAGGCGGUCGUUUAAGUAGGGUGUGAAAUGCCUCAGCCCAACUGAGGAAUGGCGCUCUAAACUGAAUGGCUUGAGUGAGCUAGGGGUUUGCGGAACUUCCGGUGGAGCGGUGAAAUGUGUUGAUAUCAGGAGGAACACCCAUGGCGAAGGCAGCAAACUGGGCAUUAUCUGACGCUGAGGCGCGAAAGCGUGGGUAGCAAACAGG